UUUUUGCAGGAUAUGCAAUUCCAAUAUUUCAAAAGCUUGCAUAAAACAAAGCAUUUCAUUUGCCAAAAAUAAAGGUGUUCAAAUAAAAGUAAAGAUUUGAAUGACUGAGAACAACAGAAGUAAACCUAUAAAUCAUAGACCCAAGAAAUCCUAUCAUGGCUACACUAGAGAGAGUAGUAAAAAUAAACCAAAGCUUGAAACUUAAGAGCAUCCUCAUGUUCUGUGACAGAAAUUUAUAACUUAAAAGAAAACAGAAUAGUUGUCAGACAAUGCCAUUGCCAUGGAGGAUCAGGAAAACAGUAUGUCACUAAGUGGCAACCCAAAAACUGUAAAGAAAUGGGAGAGGAAUUUCUAUAAAAUCAGAUGGGGAAACAUCAAUUAUUUGACCAUAAUAAGUAGUCCAACAAGAUGAUAGGAUUUUUUUUCACCCAAGUAUUGGAAUUUUGCAAUUGAUUACCUUAAGGCAAACUUGAGUUAGAAUGAUUAGCAUUCAGAACCAGAGUUCAAGGGCUUCUGAUAGACGGAUACAACCAAACACCACCAGUUCCUCUUUUAUUUUUUCCCCUCUUAAUCUGUACAUAGUUUGUCUAAAUGCUUAACACAAACUAAUCACCCAGAUGCAAAGAAACUUGACCAACGCAUUCUUAAUCUUAGCAGGAAAAUUUCAUUCAGACAGAAUGUCAGACCACACACCUAAUAACAAGUUCAAGUCAAAAGAACAAAAUGCAUGGGACCUACCAGG
RNAcentral lists this unclassified non-coding RNA (742 nucleotides) under Hevea brasiliensis (rubber tree). The record is from RNAcentral. Lineage: Eukaryota; Viridiplantae; Streptophyta; Magnoliopsida; Malpighiales; Euphorbiaceae.